Molecule: non-coding RNA, 90 nt
Filed under: Phaeovulum vinaykumarii
Lineage: Bacteria; Pseudomonadati; Pseudomonadota; Alphaproteobacteria; Rhodobacterales; Paracoccaceae
Description: Rhodobacter vinaykumarii TPP sequence
Rfam family: TPP riboswitch aptamer (THI element)
About the family: Vitamin B(1) in its active form thiamin pyrophosphate (TPP) is an essential coenzyme that is synthesised by coupling of pyrimidine and thiazole moieties in bacteria. The previously detected thiamin-regulatory element, thi box was extended, resulting in a new, highly conserved RNA secondary structure, the THI element, which is widely distributed in eubacteria and also occurs in some archaea.
Source: Rfam by way of RNAcentral
CGGUCUCGCCAGGGGCGCCGAAAGGCUGAGAAGCACCCUUUGAACCUGAACCGGAUAAUGCCGGCGGAGGGAGAGCACGGUCAGUCUGCG